This 1064-nucleotide long non-coding RNA is filed under the name Gallus gallus (chicken). RNAcentral describes it as "lncRNA (ENSGALG00010027546.1)". The record is from RNAcentral. Lineage: Eukaryota; Metazoa; Chordata; Aves; Galliformes; Phasianidae.
CAAGCAUCCCAAUACAGGAUGUCCCUUAAAUAGGUUGAGUAUGGAUUCUGGCGUGGCUGAAUGUUGAGCUCACCCCAAGCAUGGUCUGCAGGCUCCUUGGCUCCCAGGAAGCGGUGAGCAGCAAGAGAACUACCAGAACAUUGGUACCUUGACUUCUGAUGUGUGAUGGAGGGAAACGUUUGGAUCUUCUCAGGAGGAUGCAAAUGAAAGCAUGAAGACUUCAGACAUCACAGAGGCUCAGAAAAAACUCAGAAAAAGACAGAGAAUGAGAGAACAGAAGAAGUUGAAGCAGCAGAAUCUUCUUCUAUGAGAUAUUCUUUUUGAAAUUUAUGCAAAGAGAAUGCAGCUUUGUAAAGGGAGCUGAGCAUAAUCCCAAACACUGAUGAGAAUGCUUGGACAAUGAAGAGAUCAAGCCUCCGCACUAACCAGCAGGCCAUCAGGAGGGGGUGGAUGUUUCAGCUCUCUCCUUAAGCCACUGUGCUUUGCAUGAGAUAAUUCAGUAUGAAUUGGACCAGAGAGAGAGAGAGAGAGACAUCAGUGAAUGUAAUUUUUGAACCCCAGAGGCCAGUCAGCUACUGGAGGGAAGGGAGCUGCACUUGAGUCCCACUUCUAAUUAACGUAACUGUUAAUUAGUGUGGAAAACAGCAAAAAAGACCUGCCAGGAGGAUUUCAGAACCCACCAGACUGCAGCCUAACAGUUAGGACAUGCUUGCGUGAGUUUAACUGUUCUUGGUUAAGAGACAGACUUAAAAUCUCUGACUCUUGGAUUAAAAAAAAAAAAAAAAAAAAAAAAAAAAGAAGAAGAAAAAGAAGAAAAAGAAAAAGAAAGACCGGAUAAAAUGGAAAUAGAAACAAAACACUUCAAUUUGCUGAGAAUGAAAUCUGUGCAAACACUUUUUGUAAUCCUCAACUAGAUUCAGAGAAAUGAGUGGUUUUUAAACCCUGACAGUGUAUAAAUAUAAAUUACAUGCUUAGCUGCUCAGUGCCAUCAAAAUGUGCAUGGUUCUGGGCAUACCCUGAAGGAGACAUUUAUCUGCUGGUAGAAGUUGACUGGUGGAAGUGCA